ACGGAGGGGGCUAGCGUUGUUCGGAAUUACUGGGCGUAAAGCGCACGUAGGCGGACUGGAAAGUCAGAGGUGAAAUCCCAGGGCUCAACCUUGGAACUGCCUUUGAAACUAUCAGUCUGGAGUCCGAGAGAGGUGAGUGGAAUUCCGAGUGUAGAGGUGAAAUUCGUAGAUAUUCGGAGGAACACCAGUGGCGAAGGCGGCUCACUGGCUCGGUACUGACGCUGAGGUGCGAAAGCGUGGGGAGCAAACAGG
This 252-nucleotide ribosomal RNA is filed under the name uncultured bacterium. RNAcentral's name for it is "partial 16S ribosomal RNA". It matches the Rfam family "Bacterial small subunit ribosomal RNA", at positions 525 to 776 of the family's 1533-position model. The record is from RNAcentral.